This 455-nucleotide ribosomal RNA is filed under the name uncultured bacterium. RNAcentral's name for it is "bacterial SSU rRNA". It matches the Rfam family "Bacterial small subunit ribosomal RNA", at positions 340 to 786 of the family's 1533-position model. The record is from RNAcentral.
UACGGAAGGCAGCAGUGGGGAAUAUUGCACAAUGGGCGCAAGCCUGAUGCAGCCAUGCCGCGUGUAUGAAGAAGGCCUUCGGGUUGUAAAGUACUUUCAGCGGGGAGGAAGGCGAUGCGGUUAAUAACCGCGUCGAUUGACGUUACCCGCAGAAGAAGCACCGGCUAACUCCGUGCCAGCAGCCGCGGUAAUACGGAGGGUGCAAGCGUUAAUCGGAAUUACUGGGCGUAAAGCGCACGCAGGCGGUCUGUUAAGUCAGAUGUGAAAUCCCCGGGCUUAACCUGGGAACUGCAUUUUGAAACUGGCAGGCUUGAGUCUUGUAGAGGGGGUAGAAUUCCAGGUGUAGCGGUGAAAUGCGUAGAGAUCUGGAGGAAUACCGGUGGCGAAGGCGGCCCCUGGGACAAAGACUGACGCUCAGGUGCGAAAGCGUGGGGAGCGAAACAGGAUUAGAUACC